UUCCGGUUGAUCCCGCCGGACCCUACUGCUAUCGGGGUGGGGCUAAGACAUGCGAGUUGAACGUUUCACAGCCACGAGUGAAACGUAGCAUACGGCUCAGUAACACGUGGCUAACCUACCCUCGAGACGGAGACAACCCCGGGAAACUGGGGCUAAUCCCCGAUAGGUGAAGAUUCCUGGAACGGGUCUUCGCCCAAAAGGUGUUGAAAUCAUGCUUUUCAGCAUUGCUCGAGGAUGGAGCCGCGGCCGAUCAGGUAGUUGGUGAGGUAACGGCUCACCAAGCCUAUAACCGGUACGGGCCGUGGGAGCGGGAGCCCGGAGAUGGGAACUGAGACAAGGUCCCAGGCCCUACGGGGCGCAGCAGUCGCGAAAACUCCGCAAUGCACGAAAGUGUGACGGGGCUACCCCGAGUGCCGUCCGCUGAGGAUGGCUUUUCUCUGCUGUAAGGAGGCGGAGGAAUAAGGAGAGGGCAAGUCUGGUGUCAGCCGCCGCGGUAAUACCAGCUCUCCGAGUGGUAGGGAUGAUUAUUGGGCUUAAAGCGUCCGUAGCCGGCUUUUCAAGUCUCUUGUUAAAUCCAGCGAUUCAAUCGUUGGACUGCGGGAGAUACUGUUAGGCUAGGAGAUGGGAGAAGCCGACGGUAUUCCCGGAGUAGGGGUAAAAUCCUAUAAUCCCGGGAAG
Molecule: ribosomal RNA, 678 nt
Filed under: uncultured archaeon
Lineage: Archaea
Description: bacterial SSU rRNA
Rfam family: Archaeal small subunit ribosomal RNA
Source: RNAcentral